Molecule: small nuclear RNA, 107 nt
Organism: Onychomys torridus (southern grasshopper mouse)
Lineage: Eukaryota; Metazoa; Chordata; Mammalia; Rodentia; Cricetidae
Source: RefSeq, a predicted model, not a curated record
GUGCUCACUUCAUCAGCAUAUAUACUAAAAUUGGAAUUAUACAGAAAAGAUUAAUGUGACCCCCAAUCAAGGAUGACACACAAAUUUGUGAAGCAUUUCAUAUUUUU